GCCCGGGUGGUGGAAUGGCAUACACGUGCGCUUGAGGUGCGCAUGCCUUUUGGCUUGAGGGUUCGAGUCCCUCCUCGGGCACCA
This 84-nucleotide transfer RNA is filed under the name Candidatus Doudnaibacteriota bacterium. Its description in RNAcentral is "Candidatus Doudnabacteria bacterium tRNA-Leu". It matches the Rfam family "tRNA". Rfam says of the family: Transfer RNA (tRNA) molecules are approximately 80 nucleotides in length. Their secondary structure includes four short double-helical elements and three loops (D, anti-codon, and T loops). Further hydrogen bonds mediate the characteristic L-shaped molecular structure. tRNAs have two regions of fundamental functional importance: the anti-codon, which is responsible for specific mRNA codon recognition, and the 3' end, to which the tRNAs corresponding amino acid is attached (by aminoacyl-tRNA synthetases). tRNAs cope with the degeneracy of the genetic code in two manners: having more than one tRNA (with a specific anti-codon) for a particular amino acid; and 'wobble' base-pairing, i.e. permitting non-standard base-pairing at the 3rd anti-codon position. Lineage: Bacteria; Candidatus Doudnaibacteriota. The record is from RNAcentral.